This is a long non-coding RNA of Piliocolobus tephrosceles (Ugandan red Colobus), 409 nucleotides long. RefSeq lists it as uncharacterized. The transcript is spliced from 3 exons. The record is from RefSeq and is a predicted model, not a curated record. NCBI's taxonomy places the organism in Eukaryota, Metazoa, Chordata, Mammalia, Primates, Cercopithecidae.
CGGGGCGGGGGUGCCCACCUGCCCACCCUCAGCAUCCUCCUUGCCUUGUUUUUGCUUUUCUUUCCUCACUUCCCCUCCCUGCCCCAGGAUGUGGGGAGGAGAGGAAGUAGCAGGGGACAUCUGUUUUCCGCACCGUGGACGCCCAAUAAAUGCUAUUGACUGAAUGAUGUUCAGGUCUGAAGCCAAAACCGAAAUCCCCAGCUGCUUUAACAGAAGGCCAACGCAGCUCUGUUCCCCGUACGCACUGCCUGGCAAAAGACAACUGAUGUGGCGUGAAGGAGAGAGAAGAGGUGUAUGAAUAAUAUUCUUCUGACAAGAAAAAGAAAGCAAGAGGUAGGAGAAUAUAAACCUGAAGUUUCACUCUUCUUGCCCAGUCUGGACUGCAAUGGCACGACCUCACCUCACUGCA